CGCGCGAGUUCUUUCGUGCCAAUCGAGGGUCCAGAGAGAACAACAAGGUGAUUCAUCGGUAAUCUAAACAGUAAGUUUGGCAAGUGUGCAAAACAGAACCUAACCGACGACACACCCAGGGCUGCUACGAUUUGCUUCACGAUGUCAAUUGAGCCUGCGCACGGCACCACUGUCCUAAAAAUGUAAUGGCAAAAAGAAGCAAGAAAACUUCCUGCACGCUGCGCGGUCAGUUUAGGUAAUUCGAAAUUACCUAUAAAAGUGUUCCGCCGCAGUAUCGGUGGUAUCAUUCGAAAGUUGCAUAGUUCCUGGACCGAACAGAGGCAAUCAGAACUUUCAUCGUUUAACAGUGAAUUUGUUGGAAAUUUUGAAUAUAAUCAAGAUGACGUGCAAGUGCUGUGGUAAAGCUUGUAAGUGCACAACCUGCUGCGGAACUGUGGACAAACCCUGUGUUACGGGAUGCCAGUGCCAGUGUGCGUGCAAGACGGGUAAGGGCUGCGAUCAACCCAAAGGAUGCUGCUAGGAGGCACAACCCCACAACCCAACAAACAAUUUGGUUCAGUACACCUAUUUAAACCGUUAAUCAGCCGAUAUUCAUUCAACAAUAGCUCAACAGGCUGCAAAUCAACAAAAAUGUUUGAUAGGAAGGCAAUUGAGACAGUUCCAGUAUAUUGUUCAAAAUUGUCUUGUGAAACAUGUAAAAUAAAUCUUGUUCUAUUAAGUAACAGUUAAAA
This is a long non-coding RNA of Wyeomyia smithii (pitcher-plant mosquito), 731 nucleotides long. RefSeq lists it as uncharacterized. NCBI's taxonomy places the organism in Eukaryota, Metazoa, Arthropoda, Insecta, Diptera, Culicidae. The record is from RefSeq and is a predicted model, not a curated record. The transcript has 2 exons.